Molecule: ribosomal RNA, 522 nt
Filed under: uncultured bacterium
Lineage: Bacteria
Description: bacterial SSU rRNA
Rfam family: Bacterial small subunit ribosomal RNA
Source: RNAcentral
AGUUGAUAUGGCUCAGGAUGAACGCUAGCUACAGGCUUAACACAUGCAAGUCGAGGGGCAGCGGGAGGAAGCUUGCUUCUCCGCCGGCGACCGGCGAAUGGGUGAGUAACGCGUAUCCGAACCUGGCCUAUGGCUCUGGGAUAGCCCUUAGGAAAUGAGGAUUAAUACGAGAUAGUCUACCUUUGAUCGCCUGAGAUUAGGAGUAAAGACUUGUCGGCAUAAGGAUGGGGAUGCGUUCCAUUAGAUAGUUGGCGGGUAACGGCCCACCAAGUCGAUGAUGGAUAGGGGUUCUGAGAGGAAGGUCCCCCACACUGGUACUGAGACACGGACCAGACUCCUACGGGAGGCAGCAGUGAGGAAUAUUGGUCAAUGGGGCGAGAGCCUGAACCAGGCCAAGUCGCGUUGAAGGAUGAAGGUCUUAUGGAUUGUAAACUUCUUUUGCAAGGGAAUAAAGUGGGGACGUGUCCUCCUUUGCAUGUACCUUGCGAAUAAGGAUCCGGCUAACUCCGUGCCAGCCGCGGC